UACGGAGGGUGCAAGCGUUAUCCGGAUUCACUGGGUUUAAAGGGUGCGUAGGCGGGCAGGUAAGUCAGUGGUGAAAUCCCCGAGCUUAACUUGGGAACUGCCGUUGAUACUAUCUGUCUUGAAUGCUGUGGAGGUGAGCGGAAUAUGUCAUGUAGCGGUGAAAUGCUUAGAUAUGACAUAGAACACCAAUUGCGAAGGCAGCUCGCUACACAGUUAUUGACUCUGAGGCACGAAAGCGUGGGGAUCAAACAGG
This 253-nucleotide ribosomal RNA is filed under the name uncultured bacterium. RNAcentral's name for it is "partial 16S ribosomal RNA". It matches the Rfam family "Bacterial small subunit ribosomal RNA", at positions 524 to 776 of the family's 1533-position model. The record is from RNAcentral.